AGUCAUCGACUGAUGGUAGGCAAGUUAGUAAACAAACCUGCCGAUUGGAUGUACUUUCUAAUCGAAAUAGAUUAUUAGUUUCUGAUGAUUAUGAAGUAGACACCAAACUCCCAUGGAACUAGUUGAUCUGUCUGUUAUGUAGGGUUCAGAGCUAAUGUAGUUAGCUGCAAUAGGUUUAUAUUUCUACAUAGUUCCCUUUGCAUCCCAAGCCUAUUGAUGCUUAUAACCGGCAACAGAUGUAUAUUUCAACAUCAGUGACGCUCCUGCUCUCAAGAUGUUUAUUCUAUAGGCAGUCAGCCCUAGCGCAUCUGCGAGAACAUUUGACACUAAUACAACGCGUGUAUUAUAUUGCUCUCACACAGAAGUCUGACCAAAGAUGUAACACCAGUAUAAAUCGGCGGUCGCGGUCCUUGACUCUUUGUUUAUACAGUGUUCAAAUACUCAAUGCAGCUACAUUUCCUGUGGACGGCAUUCAAACUAGCUACCUAUUCAUGUGGCGAUAAGGAAUAAUGAGGGAAGAUCAAUACUACAAAAUGAUGAACUCUUCACACAGGAUUAAUCAUAUUGCUGGAUACGUACAGCUAGAUCAUGCAUGGUAUAUAGUUCUGUAGUUCAAUACAUGGUGAUUUUGUGGAAGUUUGAAGUUUCUCAUU
RNAcentral lists this long non-coding RNA (653 nucleotides) under Setaria italica (foxtail millet). Its description in RNAcentral is "long non-coding RNA (SITA_LNC006188)". Lineage: Eukaryota; Viridiplantae; Streptophyta; Magnoliopsida; Poales; Poaceae. The record is from RNAcentral.